RNAcentral lists this transfer RNA (84 nucleotides) under Podocoryna carnea. Its description in RNAcentral is "transfer RNA-Ser (UCU)". It matches the Rfam family "tRNA". Rfam says of the family: Transfer RNA (tRNA) molecules are approximately 80 nucleotides in length. Their secondary structure includes four short double-helical elements and three loops (D, anti-codon, and T loops). Further hydrogen bonds mediate the characteristic L-shaped molecular structure. tRNAs have two regions of fundamental functional importance: the anti-codon, which is responsible for specific mRNA codon recognition, and the 3' end, to which the tRNAs corresponding amino acid is attached (by aminoacyl-tRNA synthetases). tRNAs cope with the degeneracy of the genetic code in two manners: having more than one tRNA (with a specific anti-codon) for a particular amino acid; and 'wobble' base-pairing, i.e. permitting non-standard base-pairing at the 3rd anti-codon position. The record is from RNAcentral. Lineage: Eukaryota; Metazoa; Cnidaria; Hydrozoa; Anthoathecata; Hydractiniidae.
GCUGCGAUGGCCGAGUGGUUAAGGCGUUUGACUAGAAAUCAAAUGGGAUCUUCCCGCGUAGGUUCGAAUCCUACUCGCAGCGUA